UUAAUUCUAUUUUUCUUUCUUUUUUAGGCCAUCAGAUAUGACAAGGACCCGGUGUGGAACAAGACAAUCCAUUUUCCAAUACAGAACCCUUAUGAGGAUGAAUUGCACAUUGAGGUAAAAGAUGUGCAUCACGGGAGGUUGGGCACUUUCUCUAUGUCCAUCUGUGACCUACUGUUGGCAGAAAACCUCACAGUGGAAGGAUGUUUUAAUUUGCGUUCAUCUAAUCCUCUGGCUACUAUCAACAUAAAAAUGGAGUUGAGGAUUCUAGUGCCUCCUCAUCUUGAUGAGAGGAUAGAGGAAACGACUUCUGAUGAUUUAAAUUCUGAAGAGCUGAGUAUUCAGAUGUAAGGAGCCGUUAAUUAUGGGACAGUAAUAUAGGGAGGCAAUAAAUCACUGCCCUGAACAUAUGAGAUUAACCUUUUCCCUGUUUCUCUCUGUUUAGAUUGCCCAAAAAGAUACCCAAACCAUCAAAGGAUAGCGGAACCGCUGGGACAUCACAUGGAAAUGAAACAACUGGGACAUCAAGAGAAAA
This is a long non-coding RNA of Xenopus laevis (African clawed frog), 532 nucleotides long. RefSeq lists it as uncharacterized. The record is from RefSeq and is a predicted model, not a curated record. The transcript is spliced from 3 exons. Lineage: Eukaryota; Metazoa; Chordata; Amphibia; Anura; Pipidae.